RNAcentral lists this ribosomal RNA (235 nucleotides) under Ctenophora environmental sample. RNAcentral describes it as "partial Bacterial small subunit ribosomal RNA". It matches the Rfam family "Bacterial small subunit ribosomal RNA", at positions 1172 to 1406 of the family's 1533-position model. The record is from RNAcentral. Lineage: Eukaryota; Metazoa; Ctenophora.
GGUGGGGACGACGUCAAGUCAUCAUGGCCCUUACGACCAGGGCUACACACGUGCUACAAUGGAGCGUACAAAGGGUUGCAACCCCGCGAGGGUGAGCUAAUCCCAUAAAACGUUUCGUAGUCCGGAUCGCAGUCUGCAACUCGACUGCGUGAAGUCGGAAUCGCUAGUAAUCGCGUAACAGCAUGACGCGGUGAAUACGUUCCCGGGCCUUGUACACACCGCCCGUCACACCAUG